This 998-nucleotide long non-coding RNA is filed under the name Salarias fasciatus (jewelled blenny). RNAcentral's name for it is "lncRNA (ENSSFAG00005005006.1)". Lineage: Eukaryota; Metazoa; Chordata; Actinopteri; Blenniiformes; Blenniidae. The record is from RNAcentral.
AUCGUUUGAAAGGUUUUCUUAAAACUAACUCUGAAUUAAUGUCAUCAAAUCUGCGCUGAUCCACAGUCCUGACUCGACCGCUGAGCUGGCCGUCUCCUCACGCUGCCUGCAGGCCGGUGAUCGCACGGCCAAGCAGACGAAGCAGGAAAGAAACGCAGAACAAAUCCAGGAAGCGGCGGACUCGCAGAAGGAAGAUAGACGCACGCAGCCGGAUCUGAUGAGCAAGAGCAGCGUGUUCGGGAGGAAUCGCAGUUCCAAGAGGGAGCCGCCGGAUGACGAGGUGGAACCGAGACGAUCUAACACUGCCAGCCUAAAUCCCUGCCGGAGUCCUGUGUUUAAGAAGCCGAAAGGGACGUUUAACAGGGAGUCUGAGGCUGCUGGGAUGAGAAGGCCUCUUCAGGAGAAUCCCAAUGCGUCCAGCCUCGACACGAGGCCCACGUGGAGCGUUGACCCGGCGCUCGCUCUGUCCGUGGACGACAGUGAGAGAAGAGACGAGGUGCGAGAACCUGCAGCCAUCUUUGACAGCUCGACGUGAACGUGAGACAGAGUGUCUGACGGUGUGUGUGUGUGUGUGUGUGUGUGUGUGUGUGUGUGUGUGUGUGAGACAGGAGGAGGAGCCGACCGACACAGACUGCACCUGGGUCAGUCACAGCAUGCUUCAGGGUCGAGGAAAUGGACUCUCCACUGAGGGACUGGGCCAGAAGGCAAACGACAGCCUGGAAAUGAUGUUUGACAGAACAACUGAUGGGGAGUACAGGUCCUUCAUCGGGGAGAGCCAGCCCUGCGAUGAUGAUGAUGAAGAGGAAGAGAAGCAUGAAGAGGCGGAUCGCCCUGGAAAGUCCGAAGCUCAAACGCCGUCGUUUCCGCACAUCGCCGUCGUGCGCAGGAAGGACGAGCGAAGGAAGCUGAAGGGCACCACCUGCAAGGAGUGUGAAAUUGUGAGCAUCUUUGGCUUCUUGAGGGUGAACCUGGGUGACGCUGCUGUCUUCCUGACGUAA